This 409-nucleotide small RNA is filed under the name Pan troglodytes (chimpanzee). RNAcentral describes it as "retained intron". The record is from RNAcentral. Lineage: Eukaryota; Metazoa; Chordata; Mammalia; Primates; Hominidae.
UGCAGCCGUCGUCCGCAGAGCCAGUGCCUAGCGCAGAGCCGCGCCCGCCAUGAGGGAGAUCGUGCACAUCCAGGCGGGCCAGUGCGGGAACCAGAUCGGCACCAAGUUUUGGGAAGUGAUCAGCGAUGAGCACGGCAUCGACCCGGCCGGAGGCUACGUGGGAGACUCGGCGCUGCAGCUGGAGAGAAUCAAUGUCUACUACAAUGAGUCAUCGUCUCAGAAAUAUGUGCCCAGGGCCGCCCUGGUGGACUUAGAGCCAGGCACCAUGGACAGCGUGCGGUCCGGGCCUUUUGGACAGCUUUUCCGGCCUGACAACUUCAUCUUUGGUAGGUUCCAUCUUUCUCACUUUCUUCUUCUUCUUUUAUUUUUUUUAAAUCAAAUACUUUAUAUGCCAGAUUUAAAGCAUCAC